UCAGUUACUUGACAGUCGUGAAGAGGGUCUCCAAUGAGUCGAUGUUGGCUGCUCAAGAACAAGUGAAGAGUAACCCUGCAUAUGCUGUGAAUGGAGAGCUACAAAUUGUCAUUUUAAUUUCAUUUUGUCUUUGGCCACAUACUUAUACACCUGCCAUACUCAGAAUAUAUUAUGUAGACUGACACAUACAAAUAUAUAAAAUCUUAUAUCAGAUUGUAAACCUUGAAAAUAUCUGUGAGUAGAGAAAUGUGACCAUUUUUAUGUCAUGAUUUCUACCAUUUCUUCCUACAGUGUGUUAUAACAGAUGCAAGGCAUGAUUCCAGUCAAUCAGCAGCACACACAACAGUGUCAGCCCUUUCUUUCUGGACCAAAAAGGUGUUAGCAGUUGUCAACUGGAGUAGGGCCAAUGAAACUUCAGCAGUAAGCCGUGAGGUCCCUAUGACAAAAGAGCUGCUGACUUAUCUCUCUGAGACACAAGGUGCAAAGUCUGUGACAAAAGUAAUGAAGGAAGUUGCCUCAGGGGCCCAGAGGGAUGAGGGCUCAAAGUAGUUUUUUGAAUUGUUCGACAAAGCAAAAAGUACAAGGACUCUUGUGUACUCCUGCAUGAAGAACAGUCCACCCAAUGAAGAAGAAUUUCAGGGUACACUGUUGAAUGUAGUUGACCAUUACCAGGGAAAUCAUGUCAGAUGCCAUGCAGAGUCACGGUGCAAGCAGAAUGGCUAUGUGAUGAGCAAAAAACUUUUAACUAAACCUGAAGUAGUAGCUGCAUGCUUAUGUUGUUAAUUCUGCACAAUUACUUUGGCACUUUUUGGAUUCACUGCCUUCUCUUGCUCAUUGACUCAUUUGUCUUACAGAAUGAAAAUGUGAAUCGAGAAGCAUCGUCUCUACAGAUGCACCAACAUACCAGGCAUCCAAACCGCCUGGCAGAGACCAAGGUGCUUACUUCAAUUUAAUUUCAGAGAAACUAUCUGGUCUACCUUUUUUAAUAUAAACAAAUGAUGUCUCUUUUGUUUUCCAUUGCACCACAGUUUCUGAGAUAAUUACAACUAGGAGCCCAAAUGUUCAGUAUUAAUAUGUGAGGUCAUUAGAGAGGACCAAUUCUAACAACUGCUGGUACCAAGCAAUGAAAACAUUAAUAUUAGGUUUGACACAAGGAAUUUCCAAGCAGACUCAUUCUCUGUUUCCUCCUGUUACUUUUCUUUGCACUGUAUAUCUUUUCCUAACCUAUAGGAAAGUCACUAUAAUUUGCUGUGUGGACAUUGUAAAUGGACCAUAAAAAAUAUUGAGUACUUGGGCUCUCUUUGAGGUGGGCAUUUGUAUGAGAAUUUUAUUAUUCCCUUUUAUGCCCCAUAUAGGCAAUACCAGGAGGGUUAAGAAAUCUUGACCUCACAUCUUUUAUAACACAAUUGGGCAUCCUUUCCCGCACUGCAUUAACGUGGUCCCCCAGUUCGACUGUCGGAAAUGAGACUAAAGAAUCUGCUAUGUUCCGAAACUUCACGUUUUAUUUUAUAAAAUCAACUUAACCUCCCUCUCUCUCUCACCGUUCUCUGUCUCACGCUCUGGUCUCUCUCAUUUUAAAUAUAUAAUAUGAUCCUAUUGUUCAAUCAUCUGUCACUUAUCGCAAAAAGUCAACCGGAAAUCAAUUAACGCUGAAUAAUCUCUCACACGACUUUUCUAGCCUGGUAAAGAGGGUCUUUCCAGAGCCCACAUUUGUUCAAUGCU
Non-coding RNA from Pocillopora verrucosa, 1722 nucleotides. The record is from RefSeq and is a predicted model, not a curated record. Lineage: Eukaryota; Metazoa; Cnidaria; Anthozoa; Scleractinia; Pocilloporidae.